RNAcentral lists this transfer RNA (72 nucleotides) under Heterocephalus glaber (naked mole-rat). It matches the Rfam family "tRNA". From Rfam's summary of the family: Transfer RNA (tRNA) molecules are approximately 80 nucleotides in length. Their secondary structure includes four short double-helical elements and three loops (D, anti-codon, and T loops). Lineage: Eukaryota; Metazoa; Chordata; Mammalia; Rodentia; Bathyergidae. The record is from Rfam by way of RNAcentral.
UGGGGUUUAGCUCAGUGGCAGAGCAUUUCUCUAGCAUGUGUGAGGUCAUGGGUUCAAGUCCCAGAACUACAA